AUAGCGUAUAUUAAAGUUGUUGCAGUUAAAAAGCUCGUAGUUGAACCUUGGGCCUGGCUGGCCGGUCCGCCUCACCGCGUGCACUGGUCCGGCCGGGCCUUUCCUUCUGGGGAGCCGCAUGCCCUUCACUGGGUGUGUCGGGGAACCAGGACUUUUACUUUGAAAAAAUUAGAGUGUUCAAAGCAGGCUUAUGCUCGAAUACAUUAGCAUGGAAUAAUAAAAUAGGACGUGCGGUUCUAUUUUGUUGGUUUCUAGAGUCGCCGUAAUGAUUAAUAGGGAUAGUUGGGGGCAUUAGUAUUCAGUUGCUAGAGGUGAAAUUCUUGGAUUUACUGAAGACUAACUACUG
RNAcentral lists this ribosomal RNA (346 nucleotides) under uncultured eukaryote. RNAcentral's name for it is "SSU rRNA". It matches the Rfam family "Eukaryotic small subunit ribosomal RNA", at positions 594 to 945 of the family's 1831-position model. The record is from RNAcentral.